UAGAGUUUGAUCCUGGCUCAGAACGAACGCUGGCGGCGUGCCUAACACAUGCAAGUCGAACGGGAAUGUCGGGGCAACUCGACUAGUACCGUGGCGCACGGGUGAGUAACACGUAGGUAACCUACCUAUCAGUGGGGAACAACUUCGGGAAACCGAGGCUAAUACCGCAUACGUCCCGCUGUCGUAUUGAUAGCGGGGGAAAGGUGGCCUCUACAUGUAAGCUAUCGCUGAUAGAUGGGCCUGCGUACCAUUAGCUAGUUGGUAGGGUAACGGCCUACCAAGGCGUCGAUGGUUAGCUGAUCUGAGAGGACGAUCAGCCACACUGGCACUGGAACACGGGCCAGGCUCCUACGGGAGGCAGCAGUGGGGAAUAUUGCGCAAUGGGCGAAAGCCUGACGCAGCAACGCCGCGUGAGUGAUGAAGGCCUUCGGGUCGUAAAGCUCUGUCGGCAGGGGCGAAACUCCGGUGGAAAUAAUACUCCAUCGGUUUGACGGUACCUGCAAAGGAAGCACCGGCUAACUCCGUGCCAGCAGCCGCGGUAAUACGGAGGGUGCAAGCGUUGUUCGGAAUUACUGGGCGUAAAGCGCGUGCAGGUGGGCUAAGUAGUCGGGUGUGAAAUCCCUCGGCUUAACCGAGGAAGUGCGCCCGAAACCAUUAGUCUAGAGGUCCGGAGGGGAUCGGGGAAUUCCCAGUGUAGAGGUGAAAUUCGUAGAUAUUGGGAGGAACAUCGGUGACGAACGUGCCGAUCUGGACGGAUUCUGACACUGAUACGCGAAAGCAUGGGGAGCAAACAGGAUUAGAUACCCUGAUAGUCCAUGCUGUAAACGAUGGGUACUAGUGUCGGGGGUUUUGACCCCCUCGGUGCCGACGCAAACGCAUUAAGUACCCCGUCUGGGAAGUACG
This 903-nucleotide ribosomal RNA is filed under the name uncultured delta proteobacterium. RNAcentral's name for it is "bacterial SSU rRNA". It matches the Rfam family "Bacterial small subunit ribosomal RNA", at positions 1 to 884 of the family's 1533-position model. Lineage: Bacteria; Deltaproteobacteria. The record is from RNAcentral.